GACGAACGCUGGCGGCGUGCCUAAUACAUGCAAGUCGAGCGAAUGAAUGGGAGCUUGCUCCCUGACAUUAGCGGCGGACGGGUGAGUAACACGUGGGCAACCUGCCCUGCAGAUGGGGAUAACUCCGGGAAACCGGGGCUAAUACCGAAUAAUCAGUUUGUCCGCAUGGACAAACUCUGAAAGACGGUUUCGGCUGUCACUGCAGGAUGGGCCCGCGGCGCAUUAGCUAGUUGGUGGGGUAAUGGCCUACCAAGGCGACGAUGCGUAGCCGACCUGAGAGGGUGAUCGGCCACACUGGGACUGAGACACGGCCCAGACUCCUACGGGAGGCAGCAGUAGGGAAUCUUCCACAAUGGACGAAAGUCUGAUGGAGCAACGCCGCGUGAGCGAAGAAGGUUUUCGGAUCGUAAAGCUCUGUUGUGAGGGAAGAACAAGUACGGGAGUAACUGCCCGUGCCUUGACGGUACCU
Molecule: ribosomal RNA, 469 nt
Filed under: uncultured bacterium
Lineage: Bacteria
Description: bacterial SSU rRNA
Rfam family: Bacterial small subunit ribosomal RNA
Source: RNAcentral